CCAGCGGCGAACGGGUGAGUAACACGUGGGCAACCUGCCCUCAGCUCUGGGAUAAGCCGGGGAAACUCGGUCUAAUACCGGAUAUGACAUUCUCCCGCAUGGGGGGGUGUGGAAAGAUUUAUCGGCUGGGGAUGGGCCCGCGGCCUAUCAGCUUGUUGGUGGGGUGAUGGCCUACCAAGGCGACGACGGGUAGCCGGCCUGAGAGGGCGAUCGGCCACACUGGGACUGAGACACGGCCCAGACUCCUACGGGAGGCAGCAGUGGGGAAUAUUGCGCAAUGGGCGGAAGCCUGACGCAGCGACGCCGCGUGGGGGAUGACGGCCUUCGGGUUGUAAACCUCUUUCAGCUCCGACGGAGCGCAAGUGACGGUAGGGGCAGAAGAAGCACCGGCCAACUACGUGCCAGCAGCCGCGGUAAUACGUAGGGUGCAAGCGUUGUCCGGAAUUAUUGGGCGUAAAGAGCUCGUAGGCGG
RNAcentral lists this ribosomal RNA (472 nucleotides) under uncultured Actinomycetales bacterium. RNAcentral describes it as "bacterial SSU rRNA". It matches the Rfam family "Bacterial small subunit ribosomal RNA", at positions 92 to 578 of the family's 1533-position model. The record is from RNAcentral. Lineage: Bacteria; Bacillati; Actinomycetota; Actinomycetes; Actinomycetales.